UGUUUGUAUAGUGUGUGUAUAUAAUGCAGUGUGUUUGUGUAGUGUGCAUUAUAUAAACACACUGCAUUAUAUACACACACUACACAAAC
Molecule: non-coding RNA, 89 nt
Organism: Pelobates cultripes (western spadefoot toad)
Lineage: Eukaryota; Metazoa; Chordata; Amphibia; Anura; Pelobatidae
Source: the annotation of a GenBank genome assembly